UGGGAAAGCAUUUAGCGUCAUGCCUGGCGA
This 30-nucleotide non-coding RNA is filed under the name Homo sapiens (human). The record is from RNAcentral. Lineage: Eukaryota; Metazoa; Chordata; Mammalia; Primates; Hominidae.